RNAcentral lists this ribosomal RNA (460 nucleotides) under uncultured bacterium. RNAcentral's name for it is "partial 16S ribosomal RNA". It matches the Rfam family "Bacterial small subunit ribosomal RNA", at positions 338 to 795 of the family's 1533-position model. The record is from RNAcentral.
CCUACGGGUGGCAGCAGUGAGGAAUAUUGGUCAAUGGACGAGAGUCUGAACCAGCCAAGUAGCGUGAAGGCUGACUGCCCUAUGGGUUGUAAACUUCUUUUAUAUGGGAAUAAAACGUUCCACGUGUGGGAUUUUGUAUGUACCAUAUGAAUAAGGAUCGGCUAACUCCGUGCCAGCAGCCGCGGUAAUACGGAGGAUCCGAGCGUUAUCAGGAUUUAUUGGGUUUAAAGGGAGCGUAGGUGGAUUGUUAAGUCAGUUGUGAAAGUUUGCGGCUCAACCGUAACAUUGCAGUUGAAACUGGCAGUCUUGAGUACAGUAGAGGUGGGCGGAAUUCGUGGUGUAGCGGUGAAAUGCUUAGAUAUAACGAAGAACUCCGAUUGCGAAGGCAGUUCACUGGACUGCAACUGACACUGAGGCUCGAAAGUGUGGGUAUCAAACAGGAUUAGAUACCCCAGUAGUC